GCUGGCGUAGCUCAGUUGGUAGAGCAGCUGAUUUGUAAUCAGCAGGUCGGUGGUUCGAGUCCUCUCGCCAGCU
RNAcentral lists this transfer RNA (73 nucleotides) under Calditrichota bacterium. Its description in RNAcentral is "Calditrichaeota bacterium (marine metagenome) tRNA-Thr". It matches the Rfam family "tRNA". From Rfam's summary of the family: Transfer RNA (tRNA) molecules are approximately 80 nucleotides in length. The record is from RNAcentral. Lineage: Bacteria; Pseudomonadati; Calditrichota.